CCACCACCUUCCCGCCCUCUUUCCUCCCUCCCCACCGACUACUAUCACAGCAACUCCUCCCACCUUCCACCCCACGCACUCAAUACCCCUCAAUCUUAUCCAGCCUGCUCCUCCUCCCCCUCCCUCCCCCAGUCCCUAUUUACCUUGCAGACGGAGCUCUGGGAAGUUCGACCCCCGCCGCCGCCGGGUCUCCGCUGCAGCUCGGCCAGCUGCGCCCGGAGCGUCUCCUUCUGGUGGAAGGAGAAGGCCGGGUGGUUGGACGCCAUGAUGCUGCCAAACCUGUUGAGCUUUUCCAACAUAAUAAUAAAAUGUGAGGCUGGAUGAACACAGCAGGCCAAGCAGCAUCUCAGGAGCACAAAAGCUGACGUUUCGGGCCGAGACCCUUCAUCAGAGAGCCUUUCCAACAACCUUGUUUUUGUCCCUUUCAACCCUUCUUAGUUAUGUAACGUGACUUCGCCUAACGAAGGAGCAGCACUCCCAAAGCUUGUAAUUUCAAAUACAUCUGUGGGACAAUAACCUAGUGUGUGCGACUUAUGUAUUUAUGUGAUCAGAGAUAAUGGGAACUGCAGAUGCUGGAGAAUCCAAGAUAACAAAGUGUGGAGCUGGAUGAACACAGCAGGCCAAGCAUCAGAAAAGCAGACUUUGGUCUAGGGAGGAGGAUUGGAGAAGUUAUUUCAUUACAGGAGUUAUUUUCAUUCAGUGAGUAUCAGAGAUAUGAAUUCACCGCCAGAAAGGGCACUGGAAGGAUGAACCCUGGUCAAAUUUGUGGAACAGUUUGAUGUGUACUUAAGGUAUACUACAGGGAUAUAGACCAAGAGCUGGAAGCACAGGGAUUGAGCUGAGAUUUUCUUCACUGCUACCGACACAAUCGGCAAAAUUAGCUCCUUUUGUGUCUUUAAUCUUUUCGUGCUUCAGUAUUUCUCAACCUUGCUUCAAUAAAAGGGGGAGGGUACCUGCCAUCAAAAUUCAGUUGUGGGUGGGAGAAAAUAAACACACAAUUAGAACUGGAGUAAUUCAAAUGAUCAGAAAGAACUUUUUCCCACAGAGGAUAAAUUACUAAAUUAUAAUCCAGUAGGGUGGAGAAGAACAUCAGAAGUUUCUUCCUUCUCUUCCUAUACUAUCUUUGUUGCCUCAGGGUCAUUUCAUGACAUCACUGUGGGAUAGGCAAUAAGGACUACUUCAGACAACAGGGAUAUUGAACCCAUGAUUGAUGUUGUUCUGAAUCACAAUCUAGUCAUUUGGCUAGCUGAAGUGGAUAAUCCCCUUGAAUAAAAGAUCCAACAUGGAUUAAUGCCAUUUCCUAAUUUGACCAUCAAAAAGUUUUCUUAAUCUUUCUGUCCGGCAUAUUAGUUUUCAUCAUAAGUCUAUGGCCUCUCUGUUUUAGGCCCCUCACUCACUGUCUGCCUAAACUUAUAAUCCUUUGAUAACUCCAAUGUCCAACCAAAAGUCACCAAGCAAUUUCCUAACAGCCCAAUUUUUCAAAUACGUCUCAGUGUUCUUUAUAUGGUUUCACAAUUUAAUGAAUCUGUACCCUCUCUCUCUAUUUCCUCAACACAUUUUCUAUAUGAAACCCAAAACUGCAUAGUAUUCUAACUUGGCUCUUACUAAAAUUGAUCUCUAUCUGUUGAAUUUUGUAAUGCAUCGUUUUUGACACAAAACCCUGCACUCCAUUAACUUUUAAGUGAUCAAGCCACCUGAGGCACUGUUUGUGAAUCUUAAAUCCCAAAUUCUUCUCCAUUUCAUCAUAAGCUUGCCACAUUCUAUGAUUUAUUUUCAACAAAAGAAUUGUUGUAAUCCAUUGUGGCUGACAUAGUGGUUCAGUGGUUAGCACUGCUGCCUCACAGUGCCAGGGACCUGGGUUUGAUUCCACCCUUGGGUGACUGUGUGGAGUUUGCACAUUCUCCCUGUGUCUGCUUGGGUUUCCUCUGGGUGCUCUAGUUUCCUCUCACAGUCCAACGAUGUGCAGAUUAGGUUGAUUGGCCAUGCUAAAUUGUCCAUAAUGUCCAUCCCACUAGUUCUGAGUGGGAUGCAUUUUGGAGGGUUUGUAUGGGCUGAAUGGCCCGCUUCCACACUAUCAGGGAUUCUAUGAUCAGCUAUUUGUUUUGUUCAAUGUGAUGGUAGGACACUAUAGUUUAUUCUCACUGUGUGGGGAAAGGGAACCUGCGAUUUUAUCUUUAAUACAACAGUGCAGAACGGAACCUGUAAUGUAUCUGUAAUUGGUGAGGUGUAGAAUGGCACCUAUUCUUCGUUUUUUAUACAGCAAAUUGGGAUUUAAUAGUGCAAGAAAAUAAUUCAUUAUAGUAAAGUUUUGUUUUGGAUUGUUGAACAAUCCUUUUUUGGAAGGCUAGAAAUGUGAGUUUCAGUUUCAUUUCCUGAGAAAUGAAAAGCAAAGACGGGGACAAACAGCUGAUGAGAGAUCAGCUAAAGCAAAAACAGGUUUUUUCAUGGCAUCAAACAGGAUUAAGCCUGUUUUCAUCAGAAGAACUUGCAUGGACUUUCUUCCCCACAAGCAGCUUAGACUAAUAAUGGCAAGAAGAAUUGAUGAGAAUAAUUUUACCCAAGGCAUUCACAGCAAAAUUCAAAAUCUACAAGAAUCUCAGACUUGAAUAUACUCAACUACUGUGCAAUAAUACCUCUUUGGGAUAAAGAAUACUGAAGAUUUACAAGUUUUUGAGCAGAGGAAUUUCUUCUAAUCUCAGUUCUAAAUGGCUGACACUUCUCCUGAGACACUGUCUCUCGGUUCCAGUCUCACCAGUCAGUGGAAAUAACACCCUGAGCAUCUUCCCAUUGAAGUCCUCACCCCAUCUUGCACGCUAGGUAGCUGAUGGCCUAGUGGUAUUCUCACUGGACUAAUCAAUCCAGAAAAUCACCUAAAGCUUUGGAGACUUGGGUUCAAAUCCUGCCAAGGGCAGAUGAUGGAAUUUGAAUUCAAUAGAAAUCUGGAAUUAAGAAUCUAAUGAUGACCAUGAAAUUAUCGUCAAUUGUUGAGGGGAAAGAAAAACCCAUGCGGUCCACUAAUGUCCUUGGAUGAUGGUAAUUGCUACCCUUACUGGGCUCUGGCCUCCAUGUGACAUCAGAUGCACAACUCUCAACUACUCUCUAGGCAAUUAGAGGUGGCCAAUAAUUACUGGCUUGGCCAGUCAUUUUCUCAUUCUUUAAAUGAAUAUAUUAAAAACACUUUGAUUAGACCACCCCUCAUUCUUUGAAACUCAAAGAGUAUAAGCACCAUUCUACUCAAUUUCUCCUCAUAUAGCAGUGUCCUCAUUCCAGGAAUCAAUUGA
Stegostoma tigrinum is the source of this 3281-nucleotide long non-coding RNA. RefSeq lists it as uncharacterized. NCBI's taxonomy places the organism in Eukaryota, Metazoa, Chordata, Chondrichthyes, Orectolobiformes, Stegostomatidae. The transcript has 3 exons. The record is from RefSeq and is a predicted model, not a curated record.